CACUAAAGGUCAAGGUCUUAUUUUAAUGUUCAGAUUUAGUGUUUGUUUCAGCUUCUUUAUCAAAGCUGGUGAAAUUUAAAAACCGCUUCGGAGAAAUUCUACUUUCUGCAAUAGCAAUGGAAAUAAGCUCAAAUAACCUGCUUUAUUAGAUUUAUCACAAAUACCAACUUGUGUGCUCUAUCUGGCCAGAAUUGUAAGUUUUUUUAUCAUAGGAUUUUCUCAGUCUUGUACAUCUUUUAGUGACUGUCUUCCAGUAUAUUCUUGGCUUAGCAUUAUAGUACAGUAUGUCUUAAUUUAUAAGCAGAUCAAGAAUUAUUAUUUGCAAUUUACUUAACAAUAUUGUAGACUUGUAGGCUGAGGUGUCAAUAGUCAGGAUAGCAAAUCCUACAACCACUGGUGUUGUUUUAUUAAUUACAAAAUAUCAUUAAACUAAUUCCUCCUGUAUAUAUUCUGUGUAUAUUACACAAAUUCCAAGACACUUUAUUGGAGUUCAUGGCCACGCUGUAACGUUUCCUCCUCGGUGACAUAGGGGUGUGAUUUCUUAGACCACUUCAGCCUGACGGUCCAGACAGCUCAUAUUCUGUCAACCAAGGAAACAUUUUAAGUCUUGUGCUUUAAAUUUUCUUUUUUUUUUUCUUUUUGUCUUUUUAGGGCUGCACCCGCGGCAUGUGCAGGUUCCCAGGCUAGGGGUCGAAUUGGAGCGACGGCUGGCUGCGGGCCUACACCGCAGCCACAGCAAGUUGGGAUCUGACCCGCAUGAGCAACCUACACCACAGCUCAUGGAAAUGCUGGAUCCUUCACCCACUGAGCGAGGCCAGGGGUCGAACUGCGUCCUCAUGGAUGCAAGUCAGAUUCGUUUCCGCUGUGCCACGACGGGAACACCUGCAUUCUCACCGUUGCUGCAGCUGCGGUGUCGGUCAUAGCCGUGACUUGGAGUCUAACCCUGGCCCGGGAACUUCCAUAUGCUGUGGUACAGCCAUAAAAAAAGAAAAGAAAAUUUAAAAAUUAAAAAAGUCUUCAUCAAUCUAGUAAGAAAAAGUUAUCUUUAUUAAGGCUUGCUGAAGUAGCCCAAGACUUGGUGGCUUAAACCAAUACGAUGUGUAAGUUCUUAUAAUUCUCUGGGCUGCCGUCUCUCGAAGAAGCCCUGCUUUCUCUUGUUGGAGAAUGGUUUUAGAAACCAAGUUCUGGGCACCAGGGAUGUGUGUUGCUACAUUUCUUUCAGACACCUUUCAGCUGACAUAGAAAUUAAUUUGACUUAAGGCACUGUAGUAGGCGGCCUGGUGUGCCUUUAAAAUUCACAUCCACCCACCAGAAACCUCAGAACGUGAUCUUGUUUAGAAAUACGGCCUUUGCCUCUGUAAUUAAGGUAAGGCAAAGGGGACAGAGUUAGUGCGGGCCUGGAACCCAAUGAGACAGAAGGGGACAUGCAGAAGCACAGGGGAGGAGACAGGGGAGGAGACAGGGCUCUUGCUACCAUCAGCCAAGGGCUGCCGGGAGCGGGGGAAGCAGGGAAAGAGUUCCCCUUAACGAUUCUGGAGUGAACACAGCCCUACAACCACCUUGACUUUGGACUUUGGGACUCCAGAACCUCAAGAAAAUAAAUUUCCAUUGUUUCAAGGCACCCGGUUGUGGUACUUUCUCCCAGCAGCCCUAGGAACUAACCCAGAAGGCUCACGGAUAAAGAUAAUCUGUCCUUCUGGAAGCUUACGCAGCCGGCCGAGAGCUCGGGCUGCAGAGAAGGGGGCAGAGGCGACCUUUUGGAAGCAAGGAUGCAGCGUGCUUAUGGGCAAGGAAAGGCCGGGCUGCUUGGUGCUGUGCUUCCCUGAGCGGUCUGGGGUCUAGGCUUCCCAAGGCCAGGUGAAGUGAGCAGUGAGCAGUGCCCUGCCGGUCUUGUCGGUGCCCUCCUGCAGACCCGUGCCCAGGUUCUGCCUCUGGGGCGUGAGGGAGCGGGGAGAGGCACUUUCCUGGGUAGUCACAGCGUGUCGGGCGCCGUACACAUGCUCUCCCGUCUCAUCCUAUGAAGCAGGCAUGACAAUUGGCCUGUUUUACCAGUGAGAGAACGGAGGGUGAGAGAAGGUAAGCAGCGUGCCCAGAGUGAUGCUUCGUUACAUGGUGAAGCUGGGAUAAGCUUUAAUUCGUCUGAGGCUUUUUCACUAACCGUCCUGAGUUUCCAAAGUUUUUCUGUUUUUUUAGCAGGACAGUCACUCGAUCUGAAUUAUUACUUUUUGUUUGUUUUAGGGAUGCUCCUGUCCCUCACAUCAGUGGGUAAAACUUAAAAUCUUUUAUUGUACGAAUGCUAUAUAUUCAUGACUGAGAAAAUCAGUCAGUCACAAAAGCCCUAAGCCGGUAACUUUGAAACAUACCACCCAGAGCUGGUAAAACCUCAUAAAAGCAAAAUGUGAUUUUAUGUGAUUAAACUGUACUUUUUGAUUUGGAAUCUGCUCUUAAAAAAUGAUUUUUCACUCAGAAAGCUCAUGAAGGUUCGAUGUGUCUUUUCCCUUCCCUUUUUCGUUCCCUUUCUUUUGUGUUACCUUUUGCUGCCACUGUGGUUUAGAACUUUAUCGCCUUUUCAAGGACAAUCUCAGAAUGCCUUCACUGCUCUUCUCUUUGCUUUUCCUUGCCUGAUUCUUUUCAUGCGAUGUCGCUGAUUAGACACACACACACACACACACACACACACACCCCACACACCCAAACCUGAGAAGCACCAUUCUUCACCAAGCUUCACCUGUUUCUACUGCCCCGUGUCUUACCUUGUGUGCAGGCACCUCGGCUGUACGGGAUUCUUUUCUGUUGAUUGGCUGUGCCAUAUGCCUCCUCCUGUAGAACCUUUGUGUAAUAGACCCUCUCAUGAGGGGUAUGGCUUUCCCUCUGUCUCCACUCGUCCACACUCUUUCAAGUUCAGCUUAAAAGCUGCCUUGUCAAUCAUCUCUCUCCUUGCUUUGCUCUUAGGUGCUCUGUCCAGAGAUGAUAUGAUACAUCCUAGAAAAAGAGCUCCUUGAAGACUGUCCUCUGUCUUCAUCGUCGUCGUAUCUCCUGAGCAUUGCUUUUGAGCCUUGUUCAAAGUUUACCUGAAUACAUGAGAUAAACAGAGGAUGCAGGGAGAUGACACAGAUAGGCACCAUAGAUUGGUAGAUUAGAUAGAUGGGUAGGUAGGUAGAUAAAGGAGCAUCAGUGAUGCCUACAAAAUUUACUUAAUGCUAAAAGUCCACAAAAACUAAUGAUGCCAUAACUCUAGGCCUCCUUUUGCCUUUUUAAGGUGUGCGAUACUUAAGUGAUCCAAAGAGAAUGCUAAUACCACCCCGUUACAUUUUUGUGUAGUUAUUUCUGUGUCUAGAUUUAAAAGAUCUGACUUGGUUCUUAAGUUGGCAUUGAAGUGACUGGGAUGCUACCCAGAGAAAGCGGGGAAACAAACCUUCAUAACAGUUUGAAUAGAAUGUAGAGUAGAAUGCCUAAAACAUGUUGCACGAGAAGAUACUAAAGGCAUAUGAUGGCUCUUUAAUUUGGCUCUCGAGGAAGAUUGGGAGGUGGCUGAGGAAAGAAAAGGCAGCAUACAUGCCACAAUAGACUCCUGUCUCUGCAGGGGAAAGCUUGUCUCCAGCAUGGAGCUGCCCUGGAUCUCAAUUCAGAGGAGCUUAGGGCUCCUGUAGUGUUUCCGUCUUCAAAGCCCUGUGCAAACACCAACGAAGUUAAUCUAAUUAACUUAUUAGCUUUUUAAGCUAGUGGUACCAAUUAGUCACCUCAUCAGCCCCUGGCUCGGUCUCAUCACACAGCGCUCAGCUAUAAAGGGGCUUUCAUCAAAACCCCCAGGAGUGCAGCGCAUGGCAUUUGCGUGUGUUUUCCAGAGAAUGGCAGAAAGGAGCAUGUGCGCGGCAAUUACGGGGAACCCUCUCUGGGAGACCCUUAAUCACGGGGACCAUUCCCUUUACCUCUGUCUAAGAGAAGAAGCACAUGUUAGGCCUCAGUGGGGGCAGCACGAACCCCUUCCUUAACCUGAGUCUGGAGAGGGAUUAUAAAUCUUGGACUGAAAUUCCUGGAUGCCCACGGCAGAGAAAGCCUCACCCGCCACAGGCAGUCCUGGCAGGUCUGGCUGUUUGGGUGGUAUUUUUUUUUUUUUUUUUUUUUUUAAAGAGGGAGAAAGAGGGGAUUCAAGCGGAGUGCAAUGAGAAUAGCGAUCCGAAAAUACAGCCCUGAAGGAAGACUUCCAGAGAGACAAUGGGGAAGGAAUAAAUAAAAAGAAAGUUAUAAAUUCAUCUAUUUGCUCUUCUCUGACCCUUUGCUUUUACUCCUCUUCACUGCAACUACCCUGGGAAAGGCACAAUACUUUCCCCUGUCACAAUAUUGAGAAAAAUUGAAACGGGGAAGAAAGACCACCAGAUGCUUUAUUGUCUUAGACGUUUCCACAUAAUUAGCUGGGGAUAAAGGGCCUCUGCAUGGUUUCAUUGCAUUGAAUGAACUUGGAUAUUGCUACACAGUAGUGUGUUUUAUGAUUCAUGCUCUGUUAUCCUGUGGCUUUUUGAAAACUGCCAGCUACUUUAUCACUGCCGGCCAAGCCCGGGCCCACCACUUAAAAUGCAGCAAUGCAAAGUUAACUGUGCAUGACAGAUGUCCGUGAAAUUGUUUAACACACACAUACACGCUCACACAGAGCACAAAGCUGGCUCUGCCCCUCUUACGCGUCCGGCUGGCUCAAUGUCCUUAUUAAACGUAGAUGAAAGUAUAGGGCUAAGGAAGAAAGGAAAAUUCAUGAAACAACAGAAGAGAGAGCGCAUUUUGGACUCAAUGUCACAUCAAAUGCAUUUGGUAUUUGAAAACGCCCUUGAAAAAGUUAGAAAUAAUGAAGUCAUUGGAAAAGCAGAGGACCAGGG
RNAcentral lists this long non-coding RNA (4868 nucleotides) under Sus scrofa (pig). RNAcentral describes it as "lncRNA (ENSSSCG00060061284.1)". Lineage: Eukaryota; Metazoa; Chordata; Mammalia; Artiodactyla; Suidae. The record is from RNAcentral.